GAUGAACGCUGGCGGCGUGCCUAAUACAUGCAAGUCGAACGAAACUUCUUUAUCACCGAGUGCUUGCACUCACCGAUAAAGAGUUGAGUGGCGAACGGGUGAGUAACACGUGGGCAACCUGCCCAAAAGAGGGGGAUAACACUUGGAAACAGGUGCUAAUACCGCAUAACCAUAGUUACCGCAUGGUAACUAUGUAAAAGGUGGCUAUACUACCGCUUUUGGAUGGGCCCGCGGCGCAUUAGCUAGUUGGUAGGGUAAAGGCUUACCAAGGCAAUGAUGCGUAGCCGAAUUGAGAGGUUGAUCGGCCACAUUGGGACUGAGACACGGCCCAAACUCCUACGGGAGGCAGCAGUAGGGAAUCUUCCACAAUGGGCGAAAGCCUGAUGGAGCAACGCCGCGUGGGUGAAGAAGGUCUUCGGAUCGUAAAACCCUGUUGUUUGAGAAGAAAGUGCGUGAGAGUAACUGUUCACGUUUCGACGGUAUCUAACCAGAAAGCCACGGCUAACUACGUG
Molecule: ribosomal RNA, 512 nt
Filed under: uncultured bacterium
Lineage: Bacteria
Description: partial 16S ribosomal RNA
Rfam family: Bacterial small subunit ribosomal RNA
Source: RNAcentral